This 1215-nucleotide ribosomal RNA is filed under the name uncultured bacterium. RNAcentral's name for it is "bacterial SSU rRNA". It matches the Rfam family "Bacterial small subunit ribosomal RNA", at positions 246 to 1482 of the family's 1533-position model. The record is from RNAcentral.
UAGUUGGUGAGGUAAUGGCUCACCAAGGCAAUGACGCCUAACUGGUUUGAGAGGAUGAUCAGUCACACUGGAACUGAGACACGGUCCAGACUCCUACGGGAGGCAGCAGUGGGGAAUAUUGCACAAUGGAGGAAACUCUGAUGCAGCAACGCCGCGUGGAGGAUGACACUUUUCGGAGCGUAAACUCCUUUUAUAUAGGAAGAUAAUGACGGUACUAUAUGAAUAAGCACCGGCUAACUCCGUGCCAGCAGCCGCGGUAAUACGGAGGGUGCAAGCGUUACUCGGAAUCACUGGGCGUAAAGAGCGUGUAGGCGGGUUAAUAAGUUGGAAGUGAAAUCCUAUAGCUCAACUAUAGAACUGCUUUCAAAACUGUUAACCUAGAAUAUGGGAGAGGUAGAUGGAAUUUCUGGGUGUAGGGGUAAAAUCCGUAGAGAUCAGAAGGAAUACCGAUUGCGAAGGCGAUCUACUGGAACAUUAUUGACGCUGAGACGCGAAAGCGUGGGGAGCAAACAGGAUUAGAUACCCUGGUAGUCCACGCCUAAACGAUGUACACUAGUUGUUGCGAUGCUAGACAUUGCAGUAAUGCAGUUAACACAUUAAGUGUACCGCCUGGGGAGUACGGUCGCAAGAUUAAAACUCAAAGGAAUAGACGGGGACCCGCACAAGCGGUGGAGCAUGUGGUUUAAUUCGACGAUACGCGAAGAACCUUACCUGGACUUGACAUUUACAGAAUUUUUCAGAGAUGAAUUAGUGUCUGCUUGCAGAAACUGUAGGACAGGUGCUGCACGGCUGUCGUCAGCUCGUGUCGUGAGAUGUUGGGUUAAGUCCCGCAACGAGCGCAACCCACGUCGUUAGUUGCUAACAGUUCGGCUGAGAACUCUAACGAGACUGCCUGGGCAACCAGGAGGAAGGUGUGGACGACGUCAAGUCAUCAUGGCCCUUACGUCCAGGGCUACACACGUGCUACAAUGGGGCAUACAAAGAGCAGCGAUACCGCGAGGUGGAGCAAAUCUCAAAAAUGCCUCCCAGUUCGGAUAGUAGUCUGCAACUCGACUACUUGAAGUUGGAAUCGCUAGUAAUCGUAGAUCAGCAAUGCUACGGUGAAUACGUUCCCGGGUCUUGUACUCACCGCCCGUCACACCAUGGGAGUUGAACUCAUUCGAAGCGGGGAUGCUAAGAUAGCUACCCUCCACAGUGGAUUCAGCGACUGGGGUG